ACACGACCGUACCGCAAACCGACACUGGUGCGCGAGAUGAGUAUUCUAAGGCGCUUGAGAGAACUCAGGAGAAGGAACUCGGCAAAUUGACACCGUAACUUCGGAAGAAGGUGUGCCCUAUUAGUGUGAAGUGAACAACGGAGCAUGAAUGGGUUGCAAAAAAUCGGUGGCUGCGACUGUUUAUUAAAAACACAGCACUCUGCAAACACGAAAGUGGACGUAUAGGGUGUGACGCCUGCCCGGUGCUGGAAGAUUAAAUGAUGGGGUGCAAGCUCUUGAUUGAAGUCCCAGUAAACGGCGGCCGUAACAAUAACGGUCCUAAGGUAGCGAAAUUCCUUGUCGGGUAAGUUCCGACCUGCACGAAUGGCGUAACGAUAGCCACACUGUCUCCUCCUGAGACUCAGCGAAGUUGAAAUGUUUGUGAUGAUGCAAUCUCCCCGCGGAAAGACGGAAAGACCCCAUGAACCUUUACUGUAGCUUUGUAUUGGACUUUGAACAGAUCUGUGUAGGAUAGGUGGGAGGCUUUGAAGCCGGGACGCUAGUUUCGGUGGAGCCAACGUUGAAAUACCACCCUGGUGUGUUUGAGGUUCUAACCUAGGUCCAUUAUCUGGAUCGGGGACAGUGCAUGGUAGGCAGUUUGACUGGGGCGGUCUCCUCCCAAAGCGUAACGGAGGAGUUCGAAGGUACGCUAGUUACGGUCGGACAUCGUGACGAUAGUGCAAUGGCAUAAGCGUGCUUAACUGCGAGACUGACAAGUCGAGCAGAUGCGAAAGCAGGACAUAGUGAUCCGGUGGUUCUGUAUGGAAGGGCCAUCGCUCAACGGAUAAAAGGUACUCUGGGGAUAACAGGCUGAUACCGCCCAAGAGUUCAUAUCGACGGCGGUGUUUGGCACCUCGAUGUCGGCUCAUCUCAUCCUGGGGCUGUAGCCGGUCCCAAGGGUAUGGCUGUUCGCCAUUUAAAGAGGUACGUGAGCUGGGUUUAAAACGUCGUGAGACAGUUUGGUCCCUAUCUUCCGUGGGCGCUGCAGAUUUGAGGAAGCCUGCUCCUAGUACGAGAGGACCGGAGUGGACACACCUCUGGUGUAUCGGUUGUCACGCCAGUGGCAUUGCCGAGUAGCUAAGUGUGGAAGAGAUAACCGCUGAAAGCAUCUAAGCGGGAAACUCGUUUCAAGAUGAGAUCUGCCGGGGCCUUGAGCCCCCUGAAGAGUCGUUCAAGACCAGGACGUUGAUAGGUCAGGUGUGGAAGUGAAAA
RNAcentral lists this ribosomal RNA (1251 nucleotides) under metagenome. RNAcentral describes it as "bacterial LSU rRNA". It matches the Rfam family "Bacterial large subunit ribosomal RNA", at positions 1636 to 2879 of the family's 2925-position model. The record is from RNAcentral.